This 310-nucleotide ribosomal RNA is filed under the name Hoplopholcus minous. RNAcentral's name for it is "partial 12S ribosomal RNA". Lineage: Eukaryota; Metazoa; Arthropoda; Arachnida; Araneae; Pholcidae. The record is from RNAcentral.
GGUAGUAUUAAAAUAAAAACCCAUAUAAAAUGGCGGUCAUAAUAAAUUAGAGGAACUCGCUUUAUAAUCGUCAAUACUCGUUGAUUUUCACUUAAUUUUUACAGUUUAUAUACCGCCGUUACAGAAUAUAUUUAAUAAUAUAAAUCACUAAAUAUCAAAAUAAAAAAUCAGGUCAAGGUGUAGUUAAUAAAUAAGAAAAAGUAAGUUACAAUAAAUAUUAUUUAAGAAUUAAAUUCACAAGAAGAUAUGAAAAAGAAUCUAAUUUCAAAUUCAAAUUAAAAACUUAAAUAGAAUAGUUAGUUAAUGACGC